UACGGAGGGUGCGAGCGUUACCCGGAAUUACUGGGUGUAAAGGGCGUGUAGGCGGUCUCUCAAGUCCGAUGCUAAAGACCGAAGCUCAACUUCGGGGGUGCGUUGGAUACUGUGAGGCUAGACGGUCGGAGAGGGUAGUGGAAUUUCCGGAGUAGCGGUGAAAUGCGCAGAUACCGGAAGGAACGCCAAUAGCGAAGGCAGCUACCUGGACGAUUUGUGACGCUGAGGCGCGAAAGCGUGUGGAGCAAACCGG
RNAcentral lists this ribosomal RNA (253 nucleotides) under uncultured bacterium. RNAcentral describes it as "partial 16S ribosomal RNA". It matches the Rfam family "Bacterial small subunit ribosomal RNA", at positions 524 to 776 of the family's 1533-position model. The record is from RNAcentral.